This 241-nucleotide unclassified non-coding RNA is filed under the name Hevea brasiliensis (rubber tree). Lineage: Eukaryota; Viridiplantae; Streptophyta; Magnoliopsida; Malpighiales; Euphorbiaceae. The record is from RNAcentral.
CAUAAACUCUGAUGAUGACCUUGCUCGGGAAACCAUUUUGAGCCCUUUAAUGCCAGCAACAACUAUUGAUACGGCGUUGGAGAAGGCAAAUGUAGCCUAUGAGAAUGAAUCUCAGCAAGAGUGUGAGGACAUUCUUGAUUCUGUUCACGAUUGUUAUUUUGAAGAAUUAGACAGAAAGACUUCUCAGUCCAUCAGCAACGAUCAUUCAUGCAGAAGUUCAACGAGUACGAUGAUUCCUCAG